AAAGCAUAAAAUUUCUUUACAGUGACACGUGGGCCCACAUCUAACCAAAAUGCAUCGGAAGUUGGAAACCUACAGUUUUUACCGAUGCGAGUUCAAAUGAAAGUCCUUGUCAAAGUCAGCUAACUAUGAAAUUCUCCGAGCCUGAAAUGUGAGGAAAUGAGGGUGGUGAGAUUAUAAAAUCUCAGUGAGUAAACAGAUACCAUCUAAACUAUCUAAAGUCGAGUAAAUGGAGACAAUUAAAAUAAAUCAUCAUACUGUAAUUUCAUUACCUUUCAACUCAUUUCAACCAAAUAAAAUCAAUCCAUAAAAAACGAGUAAUCAACUUGGCUUAUGAAUUUCUUAAAACUUUGGCUCGUGCCAAAACUCAUACUCGGUGAUACCUUGCGCAGGGCAUCCAACCAAGUCUGCCAAGGCUGUUAAAAAUUUGUAUACACUUAAAAUAUAUUUUUAGUUUGAGAAAAAUACAGCCGUUCCUUGACGUUGGCUGAGUUCCCCUUCACGUGGUGGUUUGGCAUGAAGUGAACCCUAAGCUUUACCCC
This 539-nucleotide long non-coding RNA is filed under the name Theobroma cacao (cacao). Its description in RNAcentral is "long non-coding RNA (TCAC_LNC000922)". Lineage: Eukaryota; Viridiplantae; Streptophyta; Magnoliopsida; Malvales; Malvaceae. The record is from RNAcentral.